UUUUAUUAUGAGAGUUUGAUCCUGGCUCAGGACGAACGCUGGCGGCGUGCCUAAUACAUGCAAGUCGAACGCUUCUUUCCUCCCGAGUGCUUGCACUCAAUCGGAAAGAGGAGUGGCGGAC
Molecule: ribosomal RNA, 121 nt
Filed under: Enterococcus faecalis
Lineage: Bacteria; Bacillati; Bacillota; Bacilli; Lactobacillales; Enterococcaceae
Description: partial 16S ribosomal RNA
Rfam family: Bacterial small subunit ribosomal RNA
Source: RNAcentral